Molecule: long non-coding RNA, 1367 nt
Filed under: Olea europaea (common olive)
Lineage: Eukaryota; Viridiplantae; Streptophyta; Magnoliopsida; Lamiales; Oleaceae
Description: long non-coding RNA (OEUR_LNC004557)
Source: RNAcentral
CCUUAAUUGCAGGUUUUCCUUUGGGUACCCAGCUUCAGGUGAAAAGGGUUUCAAGAAACACAAUUGAUGUAUUAAAAUUGAAAAGCGAAUUAACCUUGAGAUUGCAAAAUGGCGAAGAUCAAAGAAAAUAUAAACGAGAGAAAUUUCUAUAGAGCAAUAUGGCGUGGUCGUCUAUGUUACUUGGCAGUGAAUGGGCCAGAUCAAGCUCAAUACGUUGAGAUUAUCCAUGGCCCGAACAGCCCAAAGCAUCGAUUCAUAUCGUAUUUUAUAUAUAUAUAUCACCACUUAACAUAUUAAUUUACGAACAUAUGAUAUGGUGAGAAAUGAUUGAACCAAAAUCUCUUCAAUCAAAUAGAAGAAGAAUAAGGCCACUUAAUUAGGCUUAAAAAUAGGGGAGUGAAGAAACAAAUCGAUAUAUCAGAAAUGAUUAGGUAUUUUUGUUUUAAUUUUUCAAACUGUCCAACUAUGCGUUAAAACAUGUUCGAUCUUGAUUUGACCUUGAAUACGUAGCAUGAUUGUAAAAAAAAACUUUCAAUUUGUUCGACACCUCAUUAAUAUGUAAAAUUUUCUUUAACUCUUUUAUGCACAAUAUCCACAGGGGAUGACCCGGGGUCUUAUAGGGUCAAUUGACCUCCCAAUUUCUGUCUUCUUUCUUUUUUUGCUGCUUCUUAUUUUAUAUUUUUUAAUUUAGAAUAUCAAAGUUUAAAACCUAUAAUAUAAAUAUAUUAUGCAACCAAUAACUUCAAACUCAAUUUUAUGCCUUUGUUUUUCUCUCUCAAUCUGUCGAUUACAGACUGCCAUUAUCAUUUACGAUUUACCCACCGUUUGAAAGCUUGAUUGUGACCCCCUAACCUAAAGGGUCUAGAUCUGCUCCUGAAUAUCUAUGUUGGUAUAAUGAACAUGUACCAGAUGGCAAAAAAAGUCUAAUCAUGUCUAUCAUGUUGCUCCUUCCCAAUAAUUUGGGACAGUUAACCUUGUGAUGAGUUGAAAAUUGUUGGUUGAUCUUUUCUUUUUGAAAAAAUAAUACAAAUGCCUAGUUAAAACGAUAUGGUAAUAUUUUCAUUGCGCGUGUUUGUUCUCAUCGAAGAAUUGAAUCUCGUUAAAAAUAAGGGUAAUUGGUACAAAACGUUCCUACCUUUUAAGAUUUUUGUGAAAAACGUCCAUACCUUUCAUUUUUUAGGUUUCAAGAAACACAAUUGAUGUAUUAAAAUUGAAAAGCGAAUUAACCUUGAGAUUGCAAAAUGGCGAAGAUCAAAGAAAAUAUAAACGAGAGAAAUUUCUAUAGAGCAAUAUGGCGUGGUCGUCUAUGUUACUUGGCAGUGAAUGGGCCAGAUCAAGCUCAAUACGUUGAGAUUAUCCAUGGCCCG